RNAcentral lists this unclassified non-coding RNA (127 nucleotides) under uncultured fungus. RNAcentral's name for it is "sequence contains ITS1, 5.8S rRNA gene". The record is from RNAcentral. Lineage: Eukaryota; Fungi.
GUAUUUAUUUUGAAUUAAGUUAAUUCGCAAUUGCUUUUCAGAACGUUGCACACAAGGUGGAUAUGGAUUUUAAAGCACCGUAAAUACACAAUUGUGAAUGGCCCUUCCACAGGUUCACCUACGGAAA